GAUGAACGCUGGCGGCGUGCCUAAUACAUGCAAGUCGAGCGAACAGACGAGGAGCUUGCUCCUCUGACGUUAGCGGCGGACGGGUGAGUAACACGUGGAUAACCUACCUAUAAGACUGGGAUAACUUCGGGAAACCGGAGCUAAUACCGGAUAAUAUAUUGAACCGCAUGGUUCAAUAGUGAAAGACGGUUUUGCUGUCACUUAUAGAUGGAUCCGCGCCGCAUUAGCUAGUUGGUAAGGUAACGGCUUACCAAGGCAACGAUGCGUAGCCGACCUGAGAGGGUGAUCGGCCACACUGGAACUGAGACACGGUCCAGACUCCUACGGGAGGCAGCAGUAGGGAAUCUUCCGAAAUGGGCGAAAGCCUGACGGAGCAACGCCGCGGGAGUGAUGAAGGUCUUCGGAUCGUAAAACUCUGUUAUUAGGGAAGAACAAAUGUGUAAGUAACUAUGCACGUCUUGACGGUACCUGAUCAGAAAGCCACGGCUAACUACGUG
Molecule: ribosomal RNA, 497 nt
Filed under: uncultured bacterium
Lineage: Bacteria
Description: partial 16S ribosomal RNA
Rfam family: Bacterial small subunit ribosomal RNA
Source: RNAcentral